Molecule: unclassified non-coding RNA, 671 nt
Filed under: Hevea brasiliensis (rubber tree)
Lineage: Eukaryota; Viridiplantae; Streptophyta; Magnoliopsida; Malpighiales; Euphorbiaceae
Source: RNAcentral
AACUUCUAAGAUGCAUUUCAGAAAUUGGGACCAACAACAAUCAGUAUAUCCCCCUUCCUAUAUUCAGUUUGAUAAACCCCAUUGGCCACCUUCAUGGCCAUUCAAAACUCAGAAAAUUUGAAAUAGUUAGCAUUUACAUACUCUGGGGGAGUGAACAGAACAUCCACUUGAGUAGUCUAUACAUUGUCGUCUUCACUGUAAUCAUCGUCGUAAUCAGAAGCUGAUUCAUCAUUUCUGGGCUUCUAGUUCAUCGUGUUACCGAGAGUGAACAGCAAAUGACUAUUGAACACAUGAGUAAGAUUAUCGAGCUGUCACCUUCAUUGGAAACUGCAGAAGCGGCACAAGAAGAAAAAAAGAAAGCAGUCCAUAGGAAAUGGUCAACGCCGGCCACCUGUAGCAUAUGCCUCGGUUGCUCCAUUUCCUUUCUUGCCAGCUCCUUCAUAUGCUACAUUUUAAGUUAAUGAACCAUUCCUCCAAUUUUAUUGUCUUACUACUGUAAUAAAAAUGGGAAGGGAACUGCCUCUUUACAAGGUUUAUUGGAUGUUAUAUUUGAUAAAGAUUUGAGUUACCCAUGGUGUGGGAUGUCUUAACAAUUUUGUUGUCUUACUGUAAUAAAAACGGGAAGAGAACUACCUCUUUAUAAGGUUCAUUGUAUCUUAUAUUUGAUAUAG